CUCAAUUACUUGCUAAAUGAAGCGCCGAAGGCAUAACUUCAGUCUCUGCUUCUCCGCCUCCCUCGUCCUCCUGUUGUUGCUGCUCCUUUUGCUGCUCUUGGCGCUGUCUGUAACUCUCUUGAGCCAAUUUGCUUCCGCUUUCAAUUCAUCGAACUCUUCUUCUCAUUGUCGUCAUCUGUGAUUUCUCCUCCUCCUCCUCCCUCCUCAUGCGGUUGCUGCACAACCGUUUCGCACGUUGCUUUCGCCUCUUUAGAAUAAUAUCUUAAACUUUAAGAAGCUUGUCUUUGUUUGCCGCCUGCACUAUCUAACUUGAUUUCCGCUUCACCUCCUCCUUCCUAUAAGUUGUUCAACAUUGCCGCCAUUGUGUAACUCCCUUCUUGCUUUUCUGAUUGCGCCUCGCUGGUUGUGCGUGUGCUACCCCGUGCUGUCCCGUGCUGUCCCGUGCUAUCUCGUGCCUCCCGUGUGGAGGAAGCACACACGGCUGGUUGGUAUGUGCAUCGACGCAAUUGAUUGCUGACUCUGAUGUAGUGGGUGGAUUAUUGUGUUUGCCAUUUGGCUGUUUCUCGGUGGAGUAAUGUCACGGUUUAUGCGAGGACAGGUUUGGAGUGCUCACGCGCGGGCUUCGUUCUUCGAGAGUGUUAUCUCUGUUCGCUUGAUCUUGUUGAGUUUUGCGACGUGGAGCUACGUUGGAGGAGUUGCGCGCUAUUCCCUACUUGUUGGCGUUUCUUGUAUUUUUUGAAGCAAUGGUUUGAUUGCUACUGCAGCUCUGCUUCUUUGAGAUACGAGUGGGUGAUGAGCGAUCAACUGUCACGCUGCUUUGAUAGCUGGUUGGGGGUGGCCUCCGACAUGGUAUGCACUAGAAGAGCGCAAGCGAAUUUGUAAUCCUUUAGAGAUUUUAAGUAUUUUUCACAGGCCUUUCCCUCCUCUCGAAAACACAGAACGUGUUAAAUCUGGAUGGCUUCCGACUGGCCGUAGGAUCUGCUUGAUCGUAAUCCUGCCAUUUUCUCUGUGUUCUUCCUCAGAAUAAUCUUGUGAUAUCGUCGAGAAACAUAUCAACUUUGGUCAGCUGGCUAUCUGCUUCGGCUGUGCAGCGUACGGACAUGACAGAAUAUUCGCAAAGAGAUUUUGAAAAUUCUUGAGGAGCUUUCCGCACAUUUGCAGUGGAGCAUAGUAUAUACUUCUUCAUGAUAGAACUGGUCCGGCUAAGUACACUCAGACAAGGCGCACAGGGUUUGCACGCCACGUUCUUAUCGUGGUUACACAAAGGGUAGCGGAACUCGUACGGGCCCUUGAGUGUAGUGGUUUUGAAACGUAUAAGAGAGGCACGCUAAAAGCCAGAGACAAUAGGUACUCUAGACUUACCCAGGUUCGCAGUAGGAGAUGUCAGUAUGCACUUCGACGACAAUGGGGCUGGUUCGGUAGACUACAUUGAAAACAAGAACGAAUAUUUUGAGCUUGUGGGGAGCAAUGGUGUUACAGAAUUACAAAUGUACGCAGAGACUGUGGAAGCUGAUGCUGUCAAGGGGAACGAGCUACUGGACGCAGAUUGCAUCAGUGAAGACGCCAGCACCUCUAGCAGCUUCUCCACUCAAGGUUCUGGGUCUCGAAUGGAAGACAGCCAUGGAUGGUGCAGCGAUUCUGGAGGCAAGAGUCGAGGAAUGUCGUCAUCUUUGAAUGCCUUAGAAGCCGUUGUGAUGAAAGUGUUGGAGAGGGUGCGAGCUGCCGGAUACGGCGAAGAGAUGUGCAAAGAGUUCCGUGAACAUUUUGCCCGUCUACCGGCUCGGUACACAUUGAACAUUGAUGCUCAUAGACAUGAGGAUGUGUUGCUGCACAUGGAGUUACUACAGGAUGCACGGGAUGCAGAAUAUGCCAGUAGCUGUAGCAGUUACAGUGACCAUGCCGCCCCCGUUCCACAGGUUCACGUACGAAAAGUGCAGUUAGCGGGAUUUGGAUCACUUCCCAGUGGUGGGUUGGAUUGCAUUGCUCCCUCACCUACACAUUCGCCAAGUGAAGGUGCCCCUUGGAAAGGACCCCAGGUCCCGAGACCUGCCUUCGAGUCUGAAACAAAUUUAGUAGGGUUGGGACUUGGUGGUAAACCAAAACUUCAGCUGUUGGAGCCAGUAUUGUGCAGGUCAUCCUCAACCCCACUAUGUCGGAUACCUUCCCGUCACCCUCCUCUCGGAAACGCACCACCUAGCUGCAAUGGGCCGCAGCACACCAUUCCCCGUCCUGCGUUUGGAAACCUUUCAAACGCAUUGCAUAUUGACGAUGAAGGAAUUGGGUACAUCAGCGAACAUGAUGAUGCCUCUUCACCCUUUGGAUACGAAGUUACGAUUGCCACCACCGAUAGACAAGGGCUUAUGAAAUACUUCACAUCAGCUUUGAGCGAUUCACAUCUGCAACUGAAUAUCAAGGAAGCCCACGUAUUCAGCACGAUAGAUGGAAUGGCAUUGGAGGUUUUUGUUGUGGAAGGUUGGCCUGGUGACGAGGCUGAAGAACUGAGGCAUUCUGUUUUAGAGGCUUUAGAGAAAAAGUCGGAAGUAAGAGGCAAACGUCCUGAAGAUUCCAAGUUGCGAGCUGCUGCUGAAGCCAUUCAAUAUGAAGAUUGGGCCGUAGAUUUCAAUCUGCUUGAGAUAGGUGAGAAACUUGGAAAUGGAUCGACAGGCAGGUUAUACAAAGGAAAAUAUUUGUCUCAAGAUGUAGCAGUUAAAAUCAUUGAGAUAGACGAAUAUAACAGCAGUGGUACAGACUCAGAUACUCAAAGGUCUGCUCCAGCAGCAGAGCGGCUACAGAUUUACAAGCAAGAGGUAUCCAUUAUGAGAUUGGUGAGACACAAGAACGUGGUGCAGUUCAUCGGUGCUUGUUCGAAUUGGCCCAAGCUCUGCAUUGUUACUGAAUUAAUGGCUGGUGGCAGUGUGCGAGACCUUCUUGACUAUCGAAGGAGUGGCUUAGGCAUCGCGUCAGCUAUUAAAAUCUUACGAGAUUCAGCGAGAGGAAUGGAUUUUUUACACAAGAGAGGGAUUGUACAUAGAGAUAUGAAAGCUGCAAAUUUGCUUAUUGAUGAGCACGAUGUUGUCAAAGUGUGUGAUUUUGGUGUUGCUCGUCUGAAGCCUACCUCUAUCAAUACUGCUGGAAAGACAACCCGUUUUUCUGCUGAGAUGACAGCUGAGACAGGAACCUACCGGUGGAUGUCUCCUGAGAUGCUGGAACACAAACCUUACGACCAGAAAGCAGACGUCUACUCCUUUGGGAUCACAAUGUGGGAGGUGUUAACAGGAAACAUACCUUACGCUGGGCUAACUCCUUUGCAAGCUGCAAUUGGGGUUGUUCAACGAGGACUUCGGCCGGAAUCUCCACCGUAUAUACCUGAAGUUCUAGCACACUUAAUGCACAGAUGUUGGGAUAAAGAUCCGGAGGAAAGACCUGAAUUUAGUGAGGUACUUUGUACACUUGAGAAUAUGGUUAUCCCGACGUCUUCGAGGAGAACAGCGUCGAGAAGGAGGUCGACAAACGCAUCUUUUCGGUCAUGAAUCCACUUUGUAUUCUACAUCUAUGCGAUGUGAGACCACACGGAACCCUCCAAUUUUGUGAAUGUGUAUACCGCAAGGAUGCGUUGCACAUCCAGCUUUGGCAUGUGAGAUAUUGUGUCAACAUGAAGCGCACCACCCGCGUGACUAACGGUCGAGAGAAGAUUGAGGAAAAGAAUUAUGGACUGUCAAAGAGCCAAUCAUAAGCAUUCGAUAAUUGAGCACAUGUAAGUUUCUUGAAAAUGUGUAUUUUUUAUAGUCUAUUUAUUUUGGAGCAAUUGCAAGCUUUGAUAUGCCUAAUAAUAAAAAUUGUAAGCUAUGGUUGACAGGUAUAAUAUCUCUUAUCAUUUAUGAAU
Molecule: RNA transcript, 3883 nt
Organism: Physcomitrium patens
Lineage: Eukaryota; Viridiplantae; Streptophyta; Bryopsida; Funariales; Funariaceae
Gene name: serine/threonine-protein kinase STY8
Source: RefSeq, a predicted model, not a curated record